Molecule: ribosomal RNA, 639 nt
Filed under: Phaeoacremonium minimum
Lineage: Eukaryota; Fungi; Ascomycota; Sordariomycetes; Togniniales; Togniniaceae
Description: eukaryotic LSU rRNA
Rfam family: Eukaryotic large subunit ribosomal RNA
Source: RNAcentral
GUUGACCUCGGAUCAGGUAGGAAUACCCGCUGAACUUAAGCAUAUCAAUAAGCGGAGGAAAAGAAACCAACAGGGAUUGCCCCAGUAACGGCGAGUGAAGCGGCAACAGCUCAAAUUUGAAAUCUGGCCUCGGCCCGAGUUGUAAUUUGCAGAGGAUGUUUCUGGCGCGGUGCCUUCUGAGUUCCCUGGAACGGGACGCCAUAGAGGGUGAGAGCCCCGUACGGUUGGACGCCUAGCCUGUGUGAAACUCCUUCGACGAGUCGAGUAGUUUGGGAAUGCUGCUCAAAAUGGGAGGUAUAUCUCUUCUAAAGCUAAAUACCGGCCAGAGACCGAUAGCGCACAAGUAGAGUGAUCGAAAGAUGAAAAGCACCUUGAAAAGGGGGUUAAACAGCACGUGAAAUUGUUGAAAGGGAAGCGCCCAUGACCAGACUUGUGCCCGGCGGAUCACCCAGCGUUCUCGCUGGGGCACUCCGCCGGGUCCAGGCCAGCAUCGGUUUUCGCCGGGGGAUAAAGGCUCUGGGAACGUAGCUCCUCCGGGAGUGUUAUAGCCCUCUGCGUAAUACCCUGGCGGCGACCGAGGUACGCGCUCCGCAAGGAUGCUGGCGUAAUGGUCAUCAGCGACCCGUCUUGAAACACGGA